This 914-nucleotide long non-coding RNA is filed under the name Homo sapiens (human). RNAcentral's name for it is "HSALNT0122332". Lineage: Eukaryota; Metazoa; Chordata; Mammalia; Primates; Hominidae. The record is from RNAcentral.
CUUAAGAAGGCCUUUAAGCGGUUUUCCGCCCUGGGUGGGCCAGGUGUUCCUUGCCCUCAUUCCCGUAAACCCACAACCUUCCAGCUUGGGCGUUAGGGCCAUUAUGAACAUGUUACAGUGCUGCAGAGAUUUUGUUUAUGGCCAGUUUUGGGGCCAGUUUACGGCCAGAUUUUGGGGGGCCUGCUCCCAACAGUCCCCGUCAAAAUCUCAUGUUGAAUUGUAAUCCCCGUAAUCCUCAUAAUGCCUGUGUAUCAAGGGAGAGACCAGGUGGAGGUAAUUGAAUUAUGGGGGUGGUUUCCCCAAUGCUUUUCUCAUGAGAGUGAGUGAGCGCUCAAAUAUCUGAUGGUUUUUAAGGGGCUCUUCCCCCUUUGCUUGGCCAUUCUCCUUCUUGCCGCCUUGUAAAGCAGGUGCUUGGCUUUCCCUUCGCCUUCUAUCAUGAUUGGUUAUUCUUUGUACAGAGGAUGAAGAAAUCCAUGUGCACAGAUUGGACUUCUCCCUUGGGCCGCGGAGAUGUUCCCAACUGUCUCCCGGACAUUUCCAGCUCAGAGUCAACAGAUGAUUGGAGAGUUAUCUCAUCUGCUACAUAUUUACUUAGUCACAUCUCCUAACUGCUCCAAUCACCCAAGAGCAAAAUCUAAGUGUCUGCCUUAAUAGUUCUUAUCAAUGCAUCACCAUUCACAGAUGUGCAUGCACUUAUACAUACACUCCUUCAAUCCAUCCUACGUGGUGUUGAUUGUAUCUCCAAUACAUUCUUCAUAACCCUUCUUUCUUCUCUGCCUUCUACAGUCCCUAUCCUGGACAAGACACUAAUAAUUUCUGAGGGGUAUAAUUUUAAUACAUUAUUCUCUGAACUCCCUACUGACAAUUCAUGUUCUUCACAUUGCAAAUAAAGUUCUCGCUCUCUAAAAUGGCAG